ACGACGCUGGCGGCGUGCUUAACACAUGCAAGUCGAACGGAAAGGCCUCUUUCGGGGGGUACUCGAGUGGCGAACGGGUGAGUAACACGUGAGUAACCUGCCCUUGACUUUGGGAUAACUUCAGGAAACUGGGGCUAAUACCGGAUAGGAGCUCCUGCUGCAUGGUGGGGGUUGGAAAGUUUCGGCGGUUGGGGAUGGACUCGCGGCUUAUCAGCUUGUUGGUGGGGUAGUGGCUUACCAAGGCUUUGACGGGUAGCCGGCCUGAGAGGGUGACCGGCCACAUUGGGACUGAGAUACGGCCCAGACUCCUACGGGAGGCAGCAGUGGGGAAUAUUGCACAAUGGGUGGAAGCCUGAUGCAGCAACGCCGUGUGCGGGAUGACGGCCUUCGGGUGUAAACCGCUUUCGCUCAUGACGAAGCUUUGUGUGACGGUAGUGGGUAAAGAAGCACCGGCUAACUACGUG
RNAcentral lists this ribosomal RNA (464 nucleotides) under uncultured bacterium. RNAcentral's name for it is "bacterial SSU rRNA". It matches the Rfam family "Bacterial small subunit ribosomal RNA", at positions 33 to 507 of the family's 1533-position model. The record is from RNAcentral.